Long non-coding RNA from Anas platyrhynchos (mallard), 7435 nucleotides. RefSeq lists it as uncharacterized. Lineage: Eukaryota; Metazoa; Chordata; Aves; Anseriformes; Anatidae. The record is from RefSeq and is a predicted model, not a curated record.
UUUUAUUAGUAAAAUGAGGUGGAUUUUUUUGUCAUUUAAAAUAGACAAUGAAAAUAAAGACAAAGUAGAACUUUGUGCUAGACACUAAUUCAUGAAAGUAAACAACAGUUGAAUGAGUUUUUAACCUAUUUUGAUAUAUGGGUGGGAUUUUUAAAAUAAAAGACAUUGUUUUUUGAAGCCAUUUAUAUUUCAUUACAUUCAUUUCAUUUCAUUCAUUUAAAAAAAAAAAUAUAUGGAACAAAAGGCUCAAAAUAAAGCACAUAACAAGAUUACAAUAGGUAUGACUCAAGAACCUGGGCGCUCUCGUAACUGAUCGGCAGAUGUCUCCAUUGGAAAUUGCAAAUGAAUUCAGUUCAAAAUUAAAAUGCUUUUGGAGUCAUUCACUAGGGACUGGAAUUCAGCCUUUAAAUACACAUGGGAAACCAUCAAAUGUGAGUCAAUAAAACAACGCAUGAAAAGCCACUCAUCCUGGCGAGACUCUUCUACACCAGCUUUUGAGAAAGCACUUCAGAGGGUUUGCAAUAGCACAAAUUCCACAGCCAGCAUAAAAACAGAUUGUGUUAGCAAUAACCUUUCCUCCUUUUUCUUAUCCUGUACCAGCAAGAUGAUGUUAAAUAGAAUAGCACUUAAUAAAUUAAUUUACUUAUUAAAUAAAAAAGUUUCUACCUGUAAAAAGUUAUAGUUUUAAAGCUAUACUUUAACCAUAGAUGCACUUCAGCUGCUUCCAAGGCUGAACUGUGAAGUGGGUUUGUUACCGUAACCAAUGUCCUGAGUCUCUGAAGCAGAAAAGCCAGGGUGGGGACUCGGCUCCAGACCGAGACAAUGUAGACGUGCUUGCACAGGAGUCUCAGCUCCCUGCAGCUGGUAGAGGUCUGGCCACCCAAGCUCACGGAGCCCAAGGCAUGGGACAUCCCUCUGCCUUAGGGCACUCUAAUCCCCUAUGCUUUACCAGCUGUACUUACUGCACAGUAAUGUCCAAUGCCAUCUCAGAUGUUUAAGGCAUUGGGCAGAGGACAGAUGUGACACAAGACAUACUAGGGAGCCAUCCAUUAAGGUAUGGGUGGGUGGAUGAAUAUCCCUUGGCUUCCACUAAGUAUAAUGGAGACUACAGUGAAGAUGAGUGCUGUGAGAUGUGUGAAUGUACAUCCUAGCCCAGCUGGCAUUUUAAAUCUCUUUAAAGUGACAUUUUUGCUUGGGACUGUAAUUAGGCAGUAUCCACCUUCUUAAAGAUAAAGGUAGAAAGGAAGAGAAGAGGAAUUCAUACAAGUCUCGACAGUUUCUUUUGCAAAUAGUUUCUCUCAAAAGACAAAAUCCUGGAUUUCCUUCUUACGUGUAAAAGUCUGUACUUCAAUGAUUGCUUUACACUCAACUAAAUCUAAGCUGGAACUAUACCAAAAUUCCUAAAGACAUUUUUCAUAAAUGAACAGUAUCAAUCUCCAUAUUUCACUGACAAAUGUUGAUAUUACAAAGCUCAGUCAUACAAAAAGGCAAGGAAAAUUAACCAGUUAUAGCACUUUGUAAACAUUUUAUUUUAAGGUCAAUCACCACAGUCCAUUUCUUCUGUCUGGUUUGUAAAUUUAUGCUUUGGUUAUUAACUGCAGUAAUUUUGCUAGAAGGGAGUCCUCUGCUAUGGGCCAGAGAUACUCUGCCACUGACUUACCAGUAUUAAACUUUUAAUGUUCUCAUAAUCUAUUCAAAGUAGACACAUUUUUUCCCCAGACUGUUGUCCAUUUACAACAAAUUUUACACAUCUCUUAUUACGACAGUUAAGAUCUUAAAUCUAGUUUUCUGGGAAAUAGCACAAUCAUUUCUUUUUCUUUAAUUUAAAAUGCUUCAUAUGCUAUUAAAUCAAAAUCUUCUGUAACAAAAUGUUUGACCUUAUGAAGUCCUUCAGUCUCUGUGAGUCAAUCUGUUCUAUCCUGCUGAGUUCACUCAAUCUAGCUAACUUUUUUAAGCACAUGAAGAGAUUAUAACUUCAUACUUGAAUGAAACUAUCCAGUGCAACCUUAUUGCUUCCGUAGUUAAUCAGCUCACUGCCACACAGCUCCAUUUGUCCGGAACAACAAGGGCUUGCCCUACCAAGCACAGCUACAUCUUCCUUUGGAUUCAUUUUUUCCACAGAAUUGUCCACAUGGCUAAUCUAAGAAUGAACAAUAUGUCUGACACCAUCUUAGAAUAGUCUAUAGUUGGCCUUGUAGCAUUUGCACUCCCAAUGCUUCAUCUGUUUUAUAUUCUUACAUUGUUCUAUCAAAUAAAGAAGCAACUGUGACACAACUUCUAGGGGUUUCUGAUGCUGACAACAAUAUGGGAGGUUCCUGUCACUUAAAUUUGGAUUUCUGUUGUAUUGAGAUUCACAGCUAACCUACUCACCGUAGUUCCUUCUAAAAUCAGUGGCAAGAAACAGUGACUUAGAGACAAAUCACCUGUCUAGCUUAGAUGGCCACUGCAGAGUAAGAUGACUAAUGUCCCCAUAGUGCCUGUUUCUGUUCCCAGAGCAGAAAGGAAGCCAAGGGGGACCAGCUCAGCUGCUUGCCACAACUCUUUUUCAUAACUGAAUAUGACAGACGUCUUUCAAAAUUCCUCUGGAUGAAUAGCAGCUAAUGUCAGAAAAUUGGACCUUCAGAAGUACGUUUCAUGUCAGUGUCAGUCCUUGGAAAAUGGGGCACUUGAAGGCACGUCUGUGUGUGAAUGCCUCAGCUUCCAGCCAGUCACCCAAAUUCCCCACACAGAAAAAAUUAAGUACCUAAAAUUAACGGAGGAAUUCCAUCUAUGGAUAAAAUACAGAAGAAAAACCUAAAAUUUCCUGGGUUUAAAAAUGUAAAAUAGCAAUAACUAAGUCCGCCAGAAAUAUUUCUCAAGAUAAAAAGUGCAACAGUUCUUGAAUCCUGCAUAUACUGCUCAGUUACAGUUUUUCAGCAGAGAACAAAUAAACAUUCCACACUAAGCAAAAAGUACUUUAGAUUAUCACACUUAUUUGACAAAUUCUUCAGUGCGAAUCUGAAUUUCAUAUUCAUGCUAACUCUUUAGUCAAACUUCAAUUAGAAGCUUGUAUAUACUUUUAUAAUCUCAUUGAAAACUGCAGCUAAAGCAGCUUUACUUUGUGAAACAUCCCAGUUUACUUUGGUUGAACUCUGAUAGAUUAUGACUGAAGACUUUUUCAAGAGUUCACUACAUCUUAGCCUUCCUUAAGCGAAUGUUAUGACAAAGCUGCCUGUGUGAGUGAAUUACGACUACUGAUUGGUCACUAGUUCCUAUGAUAUUACUUAUUACACGCUCAGUGAUAAAUUAAAGUACUUAACAAGAAAAAGUCAUAUCCAAGACCUUUAUUAUGGAAUUUAAAGAUAGUAAACUUUCAUUUGCAGAGAGAAAAUAAUGAGUUUGGUGAGCAAGCAGAUGGAAUAUUUCAACAAAUCCACUAUUCACAUCAAAAUGAAGAAUUUACUUAAUCUUUCUAAAAAUUAAGACUAGCAGAAUAAAACAGCUUUUAAAUUUAUUUAUUUUUUAAUCUAGACCUUAUUAAUGUUCAUAUUCUUCAUCUUAACAGAUAAUGCUGUCAGUAUUUAUUGAUUCAAUCUUCUGAUAAUUACAUCAUCCUUUCAGCAUGUCAGAGAACGUCAAGGUGACUGUGAUGACAUGAGACUGGUGUACGACUCUAAUGUCAUAAUAUAUUUGUGUCAAUUUUUUGUCCACAAACAGACUUGUAACAACUCUCAAAUUUGAUCUUAGAAGAGCAAAAUACUGACUUUAUUAAUAAUCUGCUAUGUAACAAUGCUCAUUACUUGCUGUAAGGCUGCCAAAGUAACAUUGUCAAGUAAUUAUUUAAAUAGUUUUAUUUAAAUGAAGUAGAACUCAACUUAGUAUUUACACAAGUGCUGUAUCUUUCCAGAACACCAUUGGGUCUUUCAAUAUUCAACUGUUUAAUUUGAUUUUAUCAGGGAAAAAUAUUCUCACACAGCUGCAAAACAUCUUUACUUUCCUUUACAGAUGUCUGAUACUAUAUUUGUUUAUCACCUGGAUUUCUCCUGAACAUUUGUUUCCUUCAAGAGUUCAACCAGCUCAAGCUUGGCUUUAUGAAGACAAAUGCUUUGGUUAUAACCUGCCUUUGAUUUUAAUAAUUACAUUAUUUUUCCUAAGGGUUGAAAUGAGGCCAGGAUUACAGCAUAUUGAUUCAUCUGACAAAUGUAAAAAAAUUAAAAAAAUAAAAUCCUACUUUGUGGGUUUUAAUGUCUUGAAGUUAUCUUGAAGUUAAAGAGCAUACUUUCUUUUCACAAGGAUUCAUAUGACAGGAGUGUAGCAGUUCAUAAAAUAUAAUUAAACUCAGUCAUUAGAUAAACUAAUAAAAUAUAAACAGAUUUUGUUAGUAAGAAAAACAAACAAACAACAACAUUUUUUUCUUCUUUUCCUUCAAUAGCUUUAUAAGGUGCAAAGACAUACCUGGAUUGGCAUGAGCACCCUGUAAUGAUGGAUUUUAUUCAGUAAUAAAAUCCAGCUGGGCAGAACUGAGGAACACCCAUGUCUCAGGGAAUAAGAAACUCAUGUGAGGGACUGCACUUCUUUCUUGCAGUUUUGUAGUAAGGACUAUUGGAUUGAACUCACUUUAGGACAGAGUCGGACUCCUGCAAGUUUGCAGGUUACACAGAAGUUGGAGGACUCUCUGAACAGCCAGAGAGAUGUGCUGCCAUUCAGAGGGACCUCAAUAGGCUCGAGAGGUGGUCUGAUAGGAACCUCAUCAAGUUCAACAAGAAGUACAGGGUCCUGUACCUGGGGAGGAACAACUCAAGGCACCAGGACAUGUUGGAGCCACCCAGCUGGAAACAGCUCUGCAGAACAGGACCUGGUGCCAAGUCUGACAUAUAGGGUCUGACACGUGGAAUGAACUGGAACUUCUCAACAUACAAAUUGCAGUACAGUACUGGGUGUCUCUAAAAGCCAGAUCACAGCUCUCUUAAGGUGGAUGCCAAACUUACAGGAUACUGCUUGAUCUUAAUCAUUUGUUUUAUUUUCUGAUUGGUAAAUGGAGAUAAAACCACAAGUGUCACUGUACAUGUUUCCUUUUGUUUUUACAUAAAAAUAAAGAUUUGGAAUGUGCUGGUUAACAGCAUUCAAAAUGCAGCAAUUGAAGAUGGUAUUUGAAAAUUGAGUGAAAUAAGGAGAAUGAGAAAGAAACACAUAUGUAAAAAUGUGUACUUGUGUAUAUAUAUAUAAAUUAUUCCACAUUACUAAAAAGACCUAUAAUUUGCACAUUUUUAAAAAUAUUACUUACUGCGUUCAAUAGCUAUUAGUACAGAUAAAAAAUCCCCAACCUGUCACAAUGAAUAUUUUAAUCUCUUAAUAUAUUUUUUAUGAAAUCCAUACCUUAUUGGGAUCAGAUUCCUCUCAGGAAUAUGAACCAGCCAAAAAAAAAUGAUAACUUCACAAAGUUUUACAUCAGUUUUUUACUACAUGCCUUUUAUUAAAAAUUAAAAUUCAAUAAUAAUACAAAAAAAUCACAUUAAAAUUCUAUGAUGCUGUAAGGUUUUCCCUUACUAUUUUCUAGCCAUCCCGGGGAAGAAAACCACAUGUAUAUAAGACCUGAAAAACCAUCACUACAGAAUAAACAUUCUUGUUUAAUUAGACCAGAAUGGGCCUCAACACAUCAAUUAGCACUUUACUUUUGGCUAUGUAGAACUGCCUCUAAAGGCAUUUUCUUGUUUGAAAACUGCAGGGGCCCUUUUAUAAGCACUACCACACUGUAAAAUUUUCCUCUGUUUCCACCACAGUGACCACCUAUCCUUCCAUCUGCAAAACAUUAAGUGUUGCUUGUAGUGUUGAACUGCCAUCUGCACCUGCUAUUCAAAACUAACAAAUACAAAAAAUAUUACACAUGCCACACAUUUACGUAGGCUCAUUCUACUUUUCAACCUUGGCCACCUUGACAACACCAUUACUAAUAGGUUCUAUAGGUAUAUUUGUAAGGUUAAAAGCUUGAAUUAUUAUACUGUCAUCAUUAUAAUUCACCAAAGAUGUUUGAAAUAUAUCAUGGAGCAGAUGCCAUCAUUCACUUUUAUGUAUGUUAAAUUGCAGUGUAACUCAGGGCUUUUCAGCAGAUUAGGCAAAAUUGGAUUUUGAUGUCCAAGACCCAGGGCUGAUAAGCUGUUCCUGCCCCAGCAGGCAGUUGGGUUAAAACUGACAAGUACAAGAGUACUUGAAGAAAUGGGUGAAGGUGUUCAAGGUGAUGGGGCUGGAUUGCACAACACCCAAACCAGGCCAAUUUAAGUAUUUUCAGCAUUUCUUGUUCCUCCACCCUUGGGUCACUACUGUCUGCCUCAGCCGUGUAAGUGUGGGGAAUCUUCCUUCUCAGCAGGUGGACACAGUUCCUUGUUGGGUCAGCAACAGUUAAUGUCUUUGCCACUUGAAUUAAUAAAGCUUAAGCCCUUUGUCUAAGACACAUACGAUAGUCAUUUUAUUUUUAUUUUUUUGUAGAAACGGUCAACUUUUGGCCAUAAAUACAUAUAAGUGGUAAUUAAACAAACAUCUUGACAGACAAACUUUGAAAGUUUUGUGGUUGCUAUAACUUUGUUACAUGCAUUUGGCAGAGGGGAGUAUCUUAAAAUUAAACUCAAAUGUAAACUUUCUUGACCGAUGUCAGUUUGGCACCAACUCACUAUUUAAUUGACUGUUAACAAAUUCUCCAAGAUAUGACUGCUAUACAGAUAUUUUAUCUUCCUGUUAAUUGGUAAUUAUGCAUUGGCAGGAAAAACAGUGUUUCUUUCCAAUUAUUCCAGAACUCAGUGAUUAUUUAAACUUUGCUAAUUAGCAGCGGAGGGUUGGUACAACUUCUGGGCAAAUUGUAUUUGAUAAUCCCUAUUAAAAUAUACAUGGCAGUAGUUGACUUGUAACAAACUAGAAAAAAAAAAAGUGGCAGUUCAAAGGGUAUUAGAUACAGCACAAGGCAAAUGGGGGCCUAUUAAAAUUUCCCCAACUGUUCUAAUGAGAAUGCCGAGGGUCAUUUCUUCCUAGUUUACCAUCUGUUUGGUUUCUGGCAAAUAUCUCCGGUGUGAAGGGAGGGUCCUGGAGCCCAUUUGGCUUGUCACAAAGUAAACCAGGGAUCCACAGCAAUUUCAGUAAGUUAUAGAACUGCACUUCAAGAGCAGUCGUAUGUACAUAGCUGAAAACUUAUUCUCAGGAGCUGGCAUUUGCCGAUUAUUCCUUACUUUUUAAGGCUGUGAGCAAGCAUGGAGAGGCAAAGACUGAGCAGGAGGGAGCAGAUUUGUGGGCUCACCUAACAAUAAAAAUCCAACAGUUGGCCUUUUUCCAUCUUAAAAUGUCAGCGGGGGAUAUUUUCUUUUAUCUGUCGCAAUCUGCAAGCAAAACAUUGCCCCAGAACCAACAGUGUUUAAGCACGAAAUGAUGCCAAAACUGAGCCUCUGGAGGCUCCAAACCACAUGCCCAGUGC